GACGAACCGUGCAAACGUUAUUCGGAAUCACUGGGCAUAAAGGGCGCGUAGGCGGCUCCAAAAGUCAGGGGUGAAAUCCGGCAGCUUAACUGUCGCAGUGCCUUUGAUACUGUGGAGCUAGAGGGAGGUAGGGGCGCGCGGAACUAAUGGUGGAGCGGUGAAAUGCGUUGAUAUCAUUAGGAACUCCGGUGGCGAAGGCGGCGCGCUGGACCGAUACUGACGCUGAGGCGCGAAAGCGUGGGGAGCAAACAGG
This 253-nucleotide ribosomal RNA is filed under the name uncultured bacterium. RNAcentral describes it as "partial 16S ribosomal RNA". It matches the Rfam family "Bacterial small subunit ribosomal RNA", at positions 524 to 776 of the family's 1533-position model. The record is from RNAcentral.